GAAAGAAUGAAACCUAGAAUGGAAGGCAAAAAAUAUGGACUUAAAGCGUAAUGGAUCCAAUCAAUCUCGAUGACUAUAAGUGGAGUGUUAUUCCUAGUUAUUUUACCCAGUGACAGUUAUAUUAUACGAAUGAUUUAAGUUUCCUUUUGCAAAUACGUAUACAAAGUAAUGAAUGCAAUGUUGAAAAUUAUAUGAUGCAAAGGUUUUCGCACACCCUUAUGGUUAGGUGAGGUAACCAGCCUUACUUUCAUGGACUGAAUUUAGAAUUGACUUUAAUUAUAAUUAGUUGCUGCAUAUCUCAAUGUUAAAUGCAACAUUAGACGU
RNAcentral lists this long non-coding RNA (324 nucleotides) under Carica papaya (papaya). RNAcentral's name for it is "long non-coding RNA (CPAP_LNC009058)". The record is from RNAcentral. Lineage: Eukaryota; Viridiplantae; Streptophyta; Magnoliopsida; Brassicales; Caricaceae.